Molecule: ribosomal RNA, 484 nt
Filed under: uncultured bacterium
Lineage: Bacteria
Description: partial 16S ribosomal RNA
Rfam family: Bacterial small subunit ribosomal RNA
Source: RNAcentral
AUUGAACGCUGGCGGCAGGCCUAACACAUGCAAGUCGAGCGGAUGAAGGGAGCUUGCUCCUGGAUUCAGCGGCGGACGGGUGAGUAAUGCCUAGGAAUCUGCCUGGUAGUGGGGGAUAACGUCCGGAAACGGGCGCUAAUACCGCAUACGUCCUGAGGGAGAAAGUGGGGGAUCUUCGGACCUCACGCUAUCAGAUGAGCCUAGGUCGGAUUAGCUAGUUGGUGGGGUAAAGGCCCACCAAGGCGACGAUCCGUAACUGGUCUGAGAGGAUGAUCAGUCACACUGGAACUGAGACACGGUCCAGACUCCUACGGGAGGCAGCAGUGGGGAAUAUUGGACAAUGGGCGAGAGCCUGAUCCAGCCAUGCCGCGUGUGUGAAGAAGGUCUUCGGAUUGUAAAGCACUUUAAGUUGGGAGGAAGGGCAGUAAGUUAAUACCUUGCUGUUUUGACGUUACCAACAGAAUAAGCACCGGCUAACUUCGUG